CCAGACGUUAGGUUCACAGGUUUUAAUGUGAAAGUCAGAGACCGGAAGUUCAAUCUUUCCCUGAGUAGCAUGCAUGACGCCGGUGAGCUGAGCACGCAAGUUAGGCAGAGGAGAAAAAAAGGAAAAUCACGCCAGGAAAAUCUCAUAGAGUUAGAGAAUGGAGGCAUCAACAAGAAGAAUCCCACUGAGGCACCUGAAGCCGGCAAGGCCCCUGCGUCGCUGUGUCCACUUUGUCGAGCCUCAAAUAAAUGCUGCGGCAGGUGAACAGCCCCUGAUGGAGCAGGAGACUACUGUUGGUAUAGACCAGUUCUUCAAGAUUUUCAACCUCCAUAAACAGAAAAAAGAAAGAAUAUGUUAUACGAGGGAUUUUUUAAUUGGUUUGGCCAGCUGCCCUGAAGCCAAGAAGAGGCCAGAAUACCUACCAGACCAUCCUGUUGUUUUAUCCGAGGCAAGGGAUCCAGGGCAACAAGAGCUGAGAGUAACACUGUGGAAUGGUGUAAAAGAAGACAUAUGAGUGAAUGGAAAGAGGAUGGCACAACCUUAACCCUAUCAGGGCAUGGCUGACUACAUCCACUGACAGGAUGGGCAAGGAGAACAUUAAAAAAGAUGGCAGAAAGGCUUCCCAUAUCUUGAGAAACUUGCACAAGUCUUGUUUACAGCAAACGGGGUUUGCACAGUGUUGUUGGCUUCUCUGCCUUAAUUUAUUUUAACCUAUAACCUUUUGCAUGUUGCUUAAAUAUUUGUUUUUCCUGCUUUUUUGCUGUGUGGAAAAGUUUUUUUUUUUUAAUUGUGUGUGUUUAAAACAAUUGCUUUAAAAAGCAAGCCAAAAUUGCCAUUGUUUUCUUUCUGACCUGACUUCAUAUAAGUCAAGUGGAAAGUAUUGGAUAAGUAAUUCACUGACAUUGUCUCUUUGUGAUGCGUGCAAAAAACUGUUGCUUGCAAUAAAGAACAACAAAAAAAAAUGACCUUGAACAUGCA
Molecule: RNA transcript, 978 nt
Organism: Girardinichthys multiradiatus
Lineage: Eukaryota; Metazoa; Chordata; Actinopteri; Cyprinodontiformes; Goodeidae
Gene: gra
Gene name: granulito
Exons: 8
Source: RefSeq, a predicted model, not a curated record